UACAGAGGUCCCGAGCGUUGUUCGGAUUCAUUGGGCGUAAAGGGUGCGUAGGUGGCGCUGUAAGUGGGGUGUGAAAUCCCGGGGCUUAACCCCGGGACUGCAUUCCAUACUGCAGUGCUUGAGGACUGGAGAGGAGACUGGAAUUUACGGUGUAGCAGUGAAAUGCGUAGAGAUCGUAAGGAAGACCAGUGGCGAAGGCGGGUCUCUGGACAGUUCCUGACACUGAGGCACGAAGGCCAGGGGAGCAAACGGG
RNAcentral lists this ribosomal RNA (253 nucleotides) under uncultured bacterium. RNAcentral describes it as "partial 16S ribosomal RNA". It matches the Rfam family "Bacterial small subunit ribosomal RNA", at positions 524 to 776 of the family's 1533-position model. The record is from RNAcentral.